RNAcentral lists this ribosomal RNA (873 nucleotides) under Pezicula carpinea. Its description in RNAcentral is "eukaryotic LSU rRNA". It matches the Rfam family "Eukaryotic large subunit ribosomal RNA", at positions 73 to 963 of the family's 3401-position model. Lineage: Eukaryota; Fungi; Ascomycota; Leotiomycetes; Helotiales; Dermateaceae. The record is from RNAcentral.
GAUUACCUCAGUAACGGCGAGUGAAGCGGUAACAGCUCAAAUUUGAAAUCUGGGUCUUUUAGGCUCCGAGUUGUAAUUUGUAGAAGAUGCUUCGGGUGCGGCGCCGGUCUAAGUCCCUUGGAACAGGGCGUCAUAGAGGGUGAGAAUCCCGUAUGUGAUCGGUUGCCUGUGCCCGUGUGAAGCUCUUUCGACGAGUCGAGUUGUUUGGGAAUGCAGCUCUAAAUGGGUGGUAAAUUUCAUCUAAAGCUAAAUAUUGGCCAGAGACCGAUAGCGCACAAGUAGAGUGAUCGAAAGAUGAAAAGCACUUUGGAAAGAGAGUUAAACAGUACGUGAAAUUGUUGAAAGGGAAGCGCUUGCAACCAGACUUGCGCGUUGUCGAUCAUCCGAGGUUCUCCCCGGUGCACUCGACCUCGCUCAGGCCAGCAUCGGUUUCGGUGGUUGGAUAAAGGCCUUGGGAAUGUAGCUUCUUUCGGGGAGUGUUAUAGCCCUCGGUGCAAUGCAGCCUACCGGGACCGAGGACCGCGCUUCGGCUAGGAUGCUGGCGUAAUGGUUGUAAGCGACCCGUCUUGAAACACGGACCAAGGAGUCUAACAUCUAUGCGAGUGUUUGGGUGUCAAACCCAUACGCGUAAUGAAAGUGAACGGAGGUGAGAACCCUUAAGGGUGCAUCAUCGACCGAUCCUGAUGUCUUCGGAUGGAUUUGAGUAAGAGCAUAGCUGUUGGGACCCGAAAGAUGGUGAACUAUGCCUGAAUAGGGUGAAGCCAGAGGAAACUCUGGUGGAGGCUCGCAGCGGUUCUGACGUGCAAAUCGAUCGUCAAAUUUGGGUAUAGGGGCGAAAGACUAAUCGAACCAUCUAGUAGCUGGUUCCUGCCG